AUGAAUUCAGAUAAGUGGGAAAAUUUCAAAGACUCGUGCAGUUACAGUACCAGGAGUGUUUAUGACAUGCUGAGAGGGGAUAAGAUGAAAAUGAGCUGGAGAAAGCUUACCAUGGGAAACCAGGCCAAACCCAGAACAAUCAUUGUGGCAUGGAUGACUUGCCUUGGGAGAUUCCCAACCAAAGACAUGGUGAACAUAUUCAGAUUGAAUACGGAUGGACUGUGCGUGUUCUAUGGUUUGCAAGAGAGCAUCAAACAUCUCUGCUACGACUGUGAGUUUGCAAAGAAUCUGUGGAAUCAAUUAUUUGAUUGGGUUCUAGUGCACCAAAAGCCGAUUAAUGGACAGUAG
Molecule: non-coding RNA, 348 nt
Organism: Vicia faba (fava bean)
Lineage: Eukaryota; Viridiplantae; Streptophyta; Magnoliopsida; Fabales; Fabaceae
Source: the annotation of a GenBank genome assembly